RNAcentral lists this ribosomal RNA (274 nucleotides) under uncultured bacterium. RNAcentral describes it as "partial 16S ribosomal RNA". It matches the Rfam family "Bacterial small subunit ribosomal RNA", at positions 523 to 796 of the family's 1533-position model. The record is from RNAcentral.
AUACGAAGGGUGCGAGCGUUAAUGGGAAUUACUGGGCGUAAAGCGCGCGUAGGCGGUUGGAUAAGUCGGAUGUGAAAGCCCCGGGCUCAACCUGGGAAUUGCAUUCGAAACUGUCCGGCUAGAGUAUGGUAGAGGGAAGCGGAAUUCCACAUGUAGCGGUGAAAUGCGUAGAUAUGUGGAGGAACACCAGUGGCGAAGGCGGCUUCCUGGACCAAUACUGACGCUGAGGUGCGAAAGCGUGGGGAGCAAACAGGAUUAGAUACCCUAGUAGUCC